GACAGAGGGUGCAAACGUUGCUCGGAAUUACUGGGCGUAAAGCGCGUGUAGGCGGAUUGGCAAGUCUGAUGUGAAAUCCCUGGGCUCAACCCAGGAACUGCACCGGAAACUGCCAGUCUUGAGUAGUGGAGAGGGAAGUGGAAUUCCUGGUGUAGAGGUGAAAUUCGUAGAUAUCAGGAGGAACACCGGUGGCGAAGGCGGCUUCCUGGACACUUACUGACGCUGAGACGCGAAAGCGUGGGGAGCGAACAGG
Molecule: ribosomal RNA, 253 nt
Filed under: uncultured bacterium
Lineage: Bacteria
Description: partial 16S ribosomal RNA
Rfam family: Bacterial small subunit ribosomal RNA
Source: RNAcentral